Pan troglodytes (chimpanzee) is the source of this 2063-nucleotide long non-coding RNA. RefSeq lists it as uncharacterized. The record is from RefSeq and is a predicted model, not a curated record. The transcript has 2 exons. Lineage: Eukaryota; Metazoa; Chordata; Mammalia; Primates; Hominidae.
AGCAGUAGGAUGUGGGUGGGGCCAGAUAAGGGAACGAAAGCAGGCCUCCCAAGCCAGGAGCGGCAAACUGCUGGGAUCCAUUUCCAUGCUGUGGACUCUUUGUGCUUUGCUCUUUGCAAUAAAUCUUCCUGCUGCUCACUUUUUGGGUCUGCACUACCUUUAUGAGCUGUAACACUCACCGCGAAGGUCUACAGCUUUACACCUGAAGCCAGGGAGACCACGAACUCAUCAGGAGGAACGAACAACUCCAGACGCGUGGCCUUUAAGAGCUGUAACACUCAACGCGAAGGUCUGCAGCUUCAGUCUUGAAGUCAGCGAAACCGCAAACCCACCAGAAGGAAGAAACUCCGGACACAUCUGAACACCUGAAGGAACAAACCCCGGACACACCAUCUCUAAGAACUGUAACACUCACCGUGAGGGUCCGCGGCUUCAUUCUUGAAUCAGUGAGACCAAGAACCCACCAAUUCCGGACACAGAAGUGUUUGUGGAAUUUAAUUACAAAAACUGAAAGGAGAGAAAACAAGAUGGCAUUGUUGCUAACCUGUGAGAAGUGAUGGGGGCCCUCCAGCUGAAUGCUAGCCCCUGGUGGGCUCAUGGUAACAACAGAGAGGGGAGCCUUCUCUGGGAAGAGCUACCUCCUACUCCAGCCCAGCCGACCAGGCUGGGAUCCACAGAUCCACACUCCAGCAUGCUGAGCGGAGAAAGACUUAUUGUUGAGAAUGUCAGUCAACUGACAUUUUGCCUCCUACUCUCUCUAUCUGAGAGGGGAAUCUGCAUUUUCUAAGCCAGUUGGCAGCAUGCACCACAAACAGCAAUGCACUGCAGGCCCCUGGUAUAGACUGUCACCCUGUGAUAAGUGUGCCAGCUCAGUGGUGCAAAGGUUUUCAGAUACCCUCCCUUGGGCUAUCAUUCCAGUAGGCAGCUCCUCCUCCUCCUCCCCUCUCCCUCACAUACACUGAGCAUCAGGCUCUCCAAGCUCAGUUCUCAACAUAGUUACAAUAACCCAUCCUAGUCAGUGAUGCUUAAAAUUGAACCAUGGUUCAGGGGAGCAGUAGGCUCUCCCUGCAAGCACCCUAAUGUGUUAAACAGCCAUGCCAGGUAGCUGUCUCCUUUCUUGGAAUCAGCUACUUACAGAGACCCUCUGUCAAUGGAAGUUAGUUUUUAUGCAAGUCCUCUAACCCAGCAUUUGAAGGAUAAACAAACUUGCACUUACACAAUUUUCUUUAAGAGCAGUUCCCUCUAAAUGUUGGUUCUCACUGCCUGCUUCAACUGCGGGCCUAGAAAUGGAAAAGGAGUCCAGGUUUGGAGCCCCUCUGGUGACUGAGCGUGUACCUCCAACAUGACUACGUUUGUACAGCUGAGACUCAACAUGUAAGGCUCUUUAGGUGGUUGGAAUUAUUUCAUUUGGCACCAUGAUUGCCUCAAAUAAUACAUACUUUGAGAGAGAGAAAUGCUGCAGAAGUAAACUCGAACCAAUAGGGACAUUUAUUCUUCAGGUUUAAAAUUAAUUUCCUGUAUUUCUCUGGCUUAAGAAAAAAAUUGUAUUGGAACUGCAACCUUAUGAGAAGAAAAAUUCGAAACUAUUUCUUUUACACUGAGCCCAGUAUCAGAUGAAAUGGAAAUGUGAGGGCUUCCUUAGCGUUAACCCGCUGGAACUUUCCAGCUGAGAACUGAGAUCUGCAGACUGCUUUAGGUUAAGACCCUGCUCCACUCCAUGUUAGGUAAUCAGAUGUCAUUUAGGCAGAAUAAAUGGGAAGUACUCAAGGAAUCAGAAGAGGUGAAAGAGCAGAAUCUGGUUUGGAUAAAAGUUUAAUUCUUCAGUUCCAAGAGGCAUAGCCCUUCGAAGAUGCUGAGCAAAGUCAGACAGGAGUGGCCAAGUAAUGAAGAUGGAUGCGUCUUGUUAUCAGCAAGCCGUUUACUAGGGCUUGAUGUAACCUUAAACAUUGCAGAUAGCUCAAUGGCACUUGCCACUAAACCCCUAAUUAAUGAAUAGCAGGCCCUAAAUUAACAAUGUGCAUUUACAGAUGAAUUCUAGGCACUCAUUAAAUGAUGUUCAAAUA